This 921-nucleotide ribosomal RNA is filed under the name uncultured Bacteroidota bacterium. RNAcentral describes it as "bacterial SSU rRNA". It matches the Rfam family "Bacterial small subunit ribosomal RNA", at positions 1 to 916 of the family's 1533-position model. Lineage: Bacteria; Pseudomonadati; Bacteroidota. The record is from RNAcentral.
GGAUCCAGACUUUGAUUCUGGCUCAGGAUGAACGCUAGCUACAGGCCUAACACAUGCAAGUCGAGGGGAAACGGCAGCUUAGCUUGCUAAGCUGGACGUCGACCGGCGCACGGGUGAGUAACGCGUAUCCAACCUGCCCCACGGUGAGGGAUAACCCGCGGAAACGCGGCCUAAUACCUCAUGGUCUCCGAGUUUGCCAUCAACCUUGGAGUAAAGAUUCAUUGCCGUGGGAUGGGGAUGCGUCUGAUUAGCUUGUUGGCGGGGCAACGGCCCACCAAGGCAACGAUCAGUAGGGGUUCUGAGAGGAAAGCCCCCCACAUUGGAGCUGAGACACGGUCCAAACUCCUACGGGAGGCAGCAGUGAGGAAUAUUGGUCAAUGGGCGAGAGCCUGAACCAGCCAAGUAGCGUGCAGGAUGACGGCCCUAUGGGUUGUAAACUGCUUUUAUGCGGGGAUAAAGCGGGCGACGUGUCGCCCUUUGCAGGUACCGCAUGAAUAAGGACCGGCUAAUUCCGUGCCAGCAGCCGCGGUAAUACGGAAGGUCCGGGCGUUAUCCGGAUUUAUUGGGUUUAAAGGGAGCGCAGGCCGGGUAUUAAGCGUGUUGUGAAAUGUAGGCGCCCAACGUCUGCACCGCAGCGCGAACUGGUGCCCUUGAGUACGCACGACGUUGGCGGAAUUCGCGUGUAGCGGUGAAAUGCUUAGAUAUGGCGAAGAACUCCGAUUGCGAAGGCAGCUGACGGGAGCGCUACUGACGCUCAUGCUCGAAAGCGCGGGUAUCGAACAGGAUUAGAUACCCUGGUAGUCCGCGCGGUGAACGAUGGAUGCCCGCUAUUUGCGCAUUAGCGCAAGUGGCCAAGUGAAAACGUUAAGCAUCCCACCUGGGGAGUACGCCGGCAACGGUGCAACUCAAAGGAAUUGACGG